RNAcentral lists this transfer-messenger RNA (355 nucleotides) under Acetispira formosa (nom. nud.). Its description in RNAcentral is "Deltaproteobacteria bacterium Smac51 transfer-messenger RNA". It matches the Rfam family "transfer-messenger RNA". From Rfam's summary of the family: Bacterial tmRNA, also known as 10Sa RNA or SsrA, is named for its dual tRNA and mRNA-like properties. Its role is to liberate the mRNA from a stalled ribosome. Lineage: Bacteria; Deltaproteobacteria; Acetispirales (nom. nud.). RNAcentral also lists the same sequence under 1 other name. The record is from RNAcentral.
GGGGGCGACAUGGUUUCGACGGGGAUAGUUGAACCUUAGGUGGCAGGUCGAGCAACCCGAUGACUCGUUAAUCCAAAGGGACUAAAUACAAAAGCAGACUCAUACGAGUACGCUCUAGCCGCUUAAGGCUAGCAUCACAAUGUUAACGUGGCCCGCGGUGGUGUUGUGGUGUAAGCAAAUGGGCUGGCUUUCAUCGGUGGCGAGAUGACGGUGAAAGUGAGAAAAGCAUGUCGCUGGCUUUUGCGGUAGCCUGUUCAUUGGCGAUCGCGGAGCGAGAACCAAACAAUGAACUAAACCUGUAGAAGUCUAGGGGGAAGAUUCUCGGACGCGGGUUCAAUUCCCGCCGCCUCCACCA